CCUACGGGUGGCAGCAGUGGGGAAUCUUCCGCAAUGGACGAAAGUCUGACGGAGCAACGCCGCGUGAGUGAUGACGGCCUUCGGGUUUAAAGCUCUGUUAAUCGGGACGAAAGGCCUUCUUGCGAAUAGUUAGAAGGAUUGACGGUACCGGAAUAGAAAGCCACGGCUAACUACGUGCCAGCAGCCGCGGUAAUACGUAGGUGGCAAGCGUUGUCCGGAAUUAUUGGGCGUAAAGCGCGCGCAGGCGGAUUGGUCAGUCUGUCUUAAAAGUUCGGGGCUUAACCCCGUGAUGGGAUGGAAACUGCUGAUCUAGAGUAUCGGAGAGGAAAGUGGAAUUCCUAGUGUAGCGGUGAAAUGCGUAGAUAUUAGGAAGAACACCAGUGGCGAAGGCGACUUUCUGGACGAAAACUGACGCUGAGGCGCGAAAGCCAGGGGAGCGAACGGGAUUAGAUACCCUGGUAGUC
Molecule: ribosomal RNA, 464 nt
Filed under: uncultured Veillonella sp.
Lineage: Bacteria; Bacillati; Bacillota; Negativicutes; Veillonellales; Veillonellaceae
Description: bacterial SSU rRNA
Rfam family: Bacterial small subunit ribosomal RNA
Source: RNAcentral